Molecule: ribosomal RNA, 292 nt
Filed under: uncultured bacterium
Lineage: Bacteria
Also listed under: 2 other names
Description: partial 16S ribosomal RNA
Source: RNAcentral
GGACUACACGGGUAUCUAAUCCCGUUUGCUCCCCUGGCUUUCGCGCCUCAGCGUCAGAUGAGGUCCAGCAGGACGCUUUCGCCACCGGCGUUCCUUCCGAUAUCAACGCAUUUCACCGCUCCACCGGAAGUUCCUCCUGCCCCUACCUCGCUCGAGCCUGUCAGUAUCGGGGGCCCUUUUCCGGUUGAGCCGAAAGAUUUCACCCCCGACUGGACAAGCCGCCUACGCGCCCUUUAAGCCCAGUGAUUCCGAACAACGUUCGCACGGUUCGUCUUACCGCGGCGGCUGGCAC